Molecule: ribosomal RNA, 393 nt
Filed under: uncultured bacterium
Lineage: Bacteria
Description: partial 16S ribosomal RNA
Rfam family: Bacterial small subunit ribosomal RNA
Source: RNAcentral
AUACGGAGGAUCCGAGCGUUAUCCGGAUUUAUUGGGUUUAAAGGGAGCGUAGGCGGACGCUUAAGUCAGUUGUGAAAGUUUGCGGCUCAACCGUAAAAUUGCAGUUGAUACUGGGUGUCUUGAGUACAGUAGAGGCAGGCGGAAUUCGUGGUGUAGCGGUGAAAUGCUUAGAUAUCACGAAGAACUCCGAUUGCGAAGGCAGCCUGCUGGACUGUAACGGACGCUGAUGCUCGAAAGUGUGGGUAUCAAACAGGAUUAGAUACCCUGGUAGUCCACACAGUAAACGAUGAAUACUCGCUGUUUGCGAUAUACAGUAAGCGGCCAAGCGAAAGCGUUAAGUAUUCCACCUGGGGAGUACGCCGGCAACGGUGAAACUCAAAGGAAUUGACGGGG